CUUGCAAACUAAAGAUGGCGACCGGCGCACGGGUGAGUGACACGUAUCCAACCUGCCGAUAACUCGGGGAUAGCCUUUCGAAAGAAAGAUUAAUAUCCGAUAGUAUAUUAAAACCGCAUGGUUUUACUAUUAAAGAAUUUCGGUUAUCGAUGGGGAUGCGUUCCAUUAGUUUGUUGGCGGGGUAACGGCCCACCAAGACUACGAUGGAUAGGGGUUCUGAGAGGAAGGUCCCCCACAUUGGAACUGAGACACGGUCCAA
Molecule: ribosomal RNA, 259 nt
Filed under: uncultured bacterium
Lineage: Bacteria
Description: partial 16S ribosomal RNA
Rfam family: Bacterial small subunit ribosomal RNA
Source: RNAcentral